This 718-nucleotide ribosomal RNA is filed under the name Pseudomonas sp. Wr1B06. RNAcentral describes it as "bacterial SSU rRNA". It matches the Rfam family "Bacterial small subunit ribosomal RNA", at positions 50 to 764 of the family's 1533-position model. Lineage: Bacteria; Pseudomonadati; Pseudomonadota; Gammaproteobacteria; Pseudomonadales; Pseudomonadaceae. The record is from RNAcentral.
AACACAUUCAGUCGAGCGGUAUAUAGAAGCUUGCUUCUCUUGAGAGCGGCGGACGGGUGAGUAAUGCCUAGGAAUCUGCCUGGUAGUGGGGGAUAACGUUCGGAAACGGACGCUAAUACCGCAUACGUCCUACGGGAGAAAGCAGGGGACCUUCGGGCCUUGCGCUAUCAGAUGAGCCUAGGUCGGAUUAGCUAGUUGGUGAGGUAAUGGCUCACCAAGGCGACGAUCCGUAACUGGUCUGAGAGGAUGAUCAGUCACACUGGAACUGAGACACGGUCCAGACUCCUACGGGAGGCAGCAGUGGGGAAUAUUGGACAAUGGGCGAAAGCCUGAUCCAGCCAUGCCGCGUGUGUGAAGAAGGUCUUCGGAUUGUAAAGCACUUUAAGUUGGGAGGAAGGGUUGUAGAUUAAUACUCUGCAAUUUUGACGUUACCGACAGAAUAAGCACCGGCUAACUCUGUGCCAGCAGCCGCGGUAAUACAGAGGGUGCAAGCGUUAAUCGGAAUUACUGGGCGUAAAGCGCGCGUAGGUGGUUUGUUAAGUUGGAUGUGAAAUCCCCGGGCUCAACCUGGGAACUGCAUUCAAAACUGACUGACUAGAGUAUGGUAGAGGGUGGUGGAAUUUCCUGUGUAGCGGUGAAAUGCGUAGAUAUAGGAAGGAACACCAGUGGCGAAGGCGACCACCUGGACUAAUACUGACACUGAGGUGCGAAAGCGUGG